RNAcentral lists this ribosomal RNA (813 nucleotides) under Phaeophleospora hymenocallidicola. Its description in RNAcentral is "partial large subunit ribosomal RNA". It matches the Rfam family "Eukaryotic large subunit ribosomal RNA", at positions 87 to 931 of the family's 3401-position model. The record is from RNAcentral. Lineage: Eukaryota; Fungi; Ascomycota; Dothideomycetes; Mycosphaerellales; Mycosphaerellaceae.
CGGCGAGUGAAGCGGCAACAGCUCAAAUUUGAAAUCUGGCGCAAGCCCGAGUUGUAAUUUGUAGAGGAUGCUUCUGGGCAGCGGCCGUUCUAAGUUCCUUGGAACAGGACGUCAUAGAGGGUGAGAAUCCCGUAUGUGACCGGCACGUACCCUCCACGUAGCUCCUUCGACGAGUCGAGUUGUUUGGGAAUGCAGCUCUAAAUGGGAGGUAAAUUUCUUCUAAAGCUAAAUACCGGCCAGAGACCGAUAGCGCACAAGUAGAGUGAUCGAAAGAUGAAAAGCACUUUGGAAAGAGAGUUAAAAAGCACGUGAAAUUGUUGAAAGGGAAGCGCUUACAACCAGACUUCGUGGCGGUGUUCCGCCGGUCUUCUGACCGGUCUACUCGCCGCCGCGAGGCCAGCAUCGUCUGGGGCCGCCGGAUAAGACCUUGGGAAUGUAGCUUGCCUCGGUAAGUGUUAUAGCCCAUGGUGAUGCGGCGUGCCUCGGGCGAGGUCCGCGCUUCGGCAAGGAUGCUGGCGUAAUGGUUGUCAGCGGCCCGUCUUGAAACACGGACCAAGGAGUCUAACAUCUAUGCGAGUGUUCGGGUGUCAAACCCCUACGCGUAAUGAAAGUGAACGGAGGUGGGAAGCGCAAGCUGCACCAUCGACCGAUCCUGAUGUCCUCGGAUGGAUUUGAGUAAGAGCAUAGCUGUUGGGACCCGAAAGAUGGUGAACUAUGCCUGAAUAGGGUGAAGCCAGAGGAAACUCUGGUGGAGGCUCGCAGCGGUUCUGACGUGCAAAUCGAUCGUCAAAUUUGGGUAUAGGGGCGAAAGAC